CCUACGGGAGGCAGCAGUGAGGAAUAUUGGUCAAUGGACGCAAGUCUGAACCAGCCAUGCCGCGUGCAGGAAGACGGCUCUAUGAGUUGUAAACUGCUUUUGUACGAGGGUAAACGCAGAUACGCGUAUCUGUCUGAAAGGAUCGUACGAAUAAGGAUCGGCUAACUCCGUGCCAGCAGCCGCGGUAAUACGGAGGAUUCAAGUGUUAUCCGGAUUUAUUGGGUUUAAAGGGUGCGUAGGCUGUCGGAUAAGUUAGAGGUGAAAUCCCGAGGCUCAACUUCGGAAUUGCCUCUGAUACUGUUCGGCUAGAGAGUAGUUGCGGUAGGCGGAAUGUAUGGUGUAGCGGUGAAAUGCUUAGAGAUCAUACAGAACGCCGAUUGCGAAGGCAGCUUACCAAGCUACUUCUGACGUUGAGGCACGAAAGCGUGGGGAGCGAACAGGAUUAGAUACCCUUGUAGUC
Molecule: ribosomal RNA, 460 nt
Filed under: uncultured bacterium
Lineage: Bacteria
Description: partial 16S ribosomal RNA
Rfam family: Bacterial small subunit ribosomal RNA
Source: RNAcentral